GGGGGCAUGGCUCAGUGGUAGAGCAUCUGCCUGGCAUGCAGAAGGUUUCAGGUUCUAUCCUUGGCAUCUCCA
This 72-nucleotide transfer RNA is filed under the name Sphaerodactylus townsendi. Its description in RNAcentral is "tRNA-Ala". It matches the Rfam family "tRNA". Rfam says of the family: Transfer RNA (tRNA) molecules are approximately 80 nucleotides in length. Their secondary structure includes four short double-helical elements and three loops (D, anti-codon, and T loops). The record is from RNAcentral. Lineage: Eukaryota; Metazoa; Chordata; Lepidosauria; Squamata; Sphaerodactylidae.